CUAUAUAGUUCCUUAUAUGUUCCACAGUUAGAGCACUUGUCAAGUUAGGUUACACUUGUUUACAGACCAGUCUUAUUCCUUAUAGUCUAAAGAUUUCCCAGCCUCUUUCAAGUGAAUGCCACAGAAGAGGACACUGACUCUGAGAUGAGGGGUAGCACAGCAAGCA
Molecule: long non-coding RNA, 166 nt
Filed under: Fukomys damarensis (Damara mole-rat)
Lineage: Eukaryota; Metazoa; Chordata; Mammalia; Rodentia; Bathyergidae
Description: lncRNA (ENSFDAG00000025157.1)
Source: RNAcentral